RNAcentral lists this small nucleolar RNA (54 nucleotides) under Trypanosoma cruzi. RNAcentral describes it as "C/D small nucleolar RNA (snoRNA), TB9C2C2, 5' partial". Lineage: Eukaryota; Euglenozoa; Kinetoplastea; Trypanosomatida; Trypanosomatidae. The record is from RNAcentral.
GCUGAGCGACGAUGCUGAUACAUGCACGCUUUGUCUGUUUGACUUCUGAGCGGG